CACAAACUUUAGUGUGUAACCUGCACUGCUGUCUACAGUGGAAUCAGGAGCCCAGUGAGGGCCAGGGCCACAGGUCAUGGAUGCCAGAGCAGCCAGCCAGGUGUCGGCAGGUAACAGAAAUAGGUCCAAACCAGCCCAGGUGUAGACAGGUAAAGGAAAUGAAUGCAGACCAGCCAGGUGUGGACAAGUAAGGGAAAUGAGUGUAGACCAGCCCAGGUAUAGACAGGUAACAGAAAAGAGCAUAGACCAGCCUGGUGUGGACAGGUAACAGAAAUGAACAUAGACCAGCCAGGUGUGGACAGGUAAGGGCAAUGAGUGUAGACCAGCCAGGUGUGGACAGGUAAGGGCAAUGAGUGUAGACCAGCCAGGUGUGGACAGGUAACAGAAAUGAACAUAGCCCAGCCAGGUGUGGACAGGUUAGGGCAAUGAGUAUUGACCAGCCAGGUGUGGACAGGUAAGGGCAAUGAGUAUAGACCAGCCAGGUGUGGACAGGUAACAGAAGUGAGCAUAGACCAGCCCAGGUGUGAACAGGUAAGGGCAAUGAGUGAAGACCAGCCAAGGUGUGGACAGGUAAGAGCAACGAGUGCAGGUGCUGCUAAUUUUAGAGAACUGUCAGAUCUCACAGAAAUGCGAGUCCAGCGUUGGACAAAACGUCUGAUUUUUUUUCAAGAAGCUAGAAAUUUAGGCUUUUAUUGAAGUAUGGGCAGCCGUAUUAAUCAGGAUUCUUGGUGGCAGCAGUGGCAGUCACCUCUACCCGACCAGGAGGACAUGGGAUCACUCACAGAGGCCCCCAGGAACGGCUGAGAGGCUGGAAGGGGACACGGGGAGCCACCCUGGGUGGGGCAGCCCUACAUCCCUCUGGCUGCCCUCUGACCACAGCAGAGGAGACCGGCUGCCCCCUCCCCACGGCCCCGGCCCUGGUCACAGCCAUGCCUCCCACAGCCACCACCACAGCCUCGGCCACAGAAGCCCCCCCGCCGCCCCAGGUGCACAGGAGGCCAGUGGGCGCUGCUGGCACGUCCCAGCCACCUUCCAGGAAGCCGAGCAGGAAGGGUCCGCCCCCACCGCAACACCCCGUGACGGCUGCACUAUGUGCGCUCUGCCAGCUCGCUGCCCCUGGCACUGGGUCCCGGGCAGCAUCCCUUGCGGUGCUGAGGGCCCAGGGGACUUGUGAGGGUGGGGUCCUGGGCCCAGCCAGUCAUGCUGUCGUUUCUCGUGGCUUCACCCAGCGGGCCCAUCCUGGAAACACAGGACGGCUUGUUACACAGGUUUGUGUUUGAGCUCGGAGAUGAGAGAACACGCCUCGGAAACAAUGUGGUUCUGACUCUCUGACCCCCGCGGGCUGCACGUGUCCACCCACGCCCUCCUGGACCUCCUUCUCUUUCCCCUGCCUGGCCUCCCUUUACGGUCUCGGGGCGCUUAGAUGAAUGCAGGGACCGUCGCCACACUAGGGAAUUCCGCCGAGUGGCAGUGCCCCUCUCAGUCGGGGUGACAUAGGCGGGGGAGGGGCUGUCCCUGUGGGUACUCCAGCCCAAGGGUCCUCUGAGUUCACCCACCCAGCGGAUAGAUGACGUAAAGAAAAUACUGAGAACGCUGUUUGCUCAGGAAACUUAUUCUUCCAGAUUGAAUGCAAAAAGCCUACGUUUACAUAACUGAACUUUACAAAUCAAGCCAGUAUUGACUCGUGCCCUGACCUAUUUCUCUAGAAUUUAAAUAACUUUACUUAUUCCAGGAGCUACGUCCCUGUUUCCUUAAAGUUAUACGUUGUGUUGAUGAAGGGUUCCGUCAGACAGAGCAUUCUAUUGGGUUAAAACCUGAAUUGUGGAUGUAUUUACACGGCACCCCCUUUUCAACUGCCCGGCCGCAGCCGCCCGUUCCAGCUGGCAGAGCCCUGGGGUCCAGCCUCACCGUGAGCCCCUUCGGGGUCUGAAUCAGGGUUUUUAUCUGGAGUAGCUUUUCAAUAAACAUAUUCAAAGACGGCAUUAGACCCCGUUAGCUAUCAAACGUUCUACCUUUUAAGCCUUUAAGCCUUUUUCACACAGAGAACUAAAUCUAAAAUGUUCUGUUACACCGUGAGAUGAUCAUUUUAAAUGCUGAGAAGGAAAAAGUGCCCCGUAGUCCCCUCCCGAGGCAGCAGACUAAAUGUUGGCCCUUCAAAUGUGUUGCUGUGGCGUCUUGGUGCUCUGGGUUUCAUCUCAGCGUUAUGCUGCCCGGGAGGCCGGUGCUGUGCCCUUUGUCCCUCCCUGGGGUGGAGACUUUGGUGGUUUAAGGAGGAAGUGAGGGGAAGGACGGGCUGGGGCCUGGCUGCUCCGGCCAAUAACUCUGGCUCUGCUAUUUCCUGGGCAAGGUUCCGAACUCCCUGUGCCUCGGCAUACCCACCUGUAAAUAGGGGGCUCACCAUCCCCACAUCAGACAGAGGUUGUUGAAAGGAUUAAAUGAGUUAAAACAUGGAAAGCUCUUCCAGGAGUCGGGUGCCGGGAAGUCCGGGGUGGCGACGCUGCGGGGGACCGAGAAGUGAGCUGUGUUUCCUGUCUGAGGCUGCCAGUCAGACGACAGGAAGCAAGUGGCUCCCCAGGAACCAGAUCGCUAUGUCUGACUGCACUGUCGAUGUCCUUCCCAAAGCAACGGCUGCACCUGGGCCCUGGGACGGCCCCAACGCCUCUCACCAGUGGCUGCACAGCGAUCUGGGGCCAACACCCGUCAUCUCCUCCUCAGCAAUUGCCACAGAGGCCCUUUCUUCUCCGCACAAGUGGAUAGAGAAUAAAAACGAGCCAGAGGGAGGGACACACAAGGAUGCACAACCACCCCUCAUCAGAGAAGUCUGGAGGAAGACAGGCAUUGACUGAAGGCGAAAUCCCCACGCUCAGUCCGCCAGAGCACAUAGCAAUGAGCGGGUGCUGGCCCGUGGAGCGGCCGAGAAGCUGGACACAGGGAGCUGUGCUUGGAGUGCCAGAGGAAAUACGCAGCCUCAGGGCCGCCCCAGCACGUGCUGGCCGUCUGCUCCCACUGGGAGCCUCCCACCCGCCCAGGCACCGAAGCCCAGCCAGGGAGCCAACACUUCGGUGAGAGCUGGUGCUCACCCCCGAGGCCACGUCUGAACUCACCGCUCUGCACCUCCCUUUCCACCAGGAGCUACUCCGUGCAUCCUCCUCCCUGGCGGGGCUCCCCAACCUGCAUCCUGUGACCUUCGUCCUGUGCCCCAUUAGGAGGAACACUGGGCACAGCCCUGG
Long non-coding RNA from Equus caballus (horse), 3230 nucleotides. NCBI's taxonomy places the organism in Eukaryota, Metazoa, Chordata, Mammalia, Perissodactyla, Equidae. The record is from Ensembl.